RNAcentral lists this ribosomal RNA (440 nucleotides) under Acinetobacter sp. Carola9. RNAcentral's name for it is "bacterial SSU rRNA". It matches the Rfam family "Bacterial small subunit ribosomal RNA", at positions 32 to 474 of the family's 1533-position model. Lineage: Bacteria; Pseudomonadati; Pseudomonadota; Gammaproteobacteria; Moraxellales; Moraxellaceae. The record is from RNAcentral.
AACGCUGGCGGCAGGCUUAACACAUGCAAGUCGAGCGGAGCGAGGGUGCUUGCACCUUAGCUUAGCGGCGGACGGGUGAGUAAUGCUUAGGAAUCUGCCUAUUAGUGGGGGACAACAUUCCGAAAGGAAUGCUAAUACCGCAUACGCCCUACGGGGGAAAGCAGGGGAUCUUCGGACCUUGCGCUAAUAGAUGAGCCUAAGUCGGAUUAGCUAGUUGGUGGGGUAAAGGCCUACCAAGGCGACGAUCUGUAGCGGGUCUGAGAGGAUGAUCCGCCACACUGGGACUGAGACACGGCCCAGACUCCUACGGGAGGCAGCAGUGGGGAAUAUUGGACAAUGGGCGGAAGCCUGAUCCAGCCAUGCCGCGUGUGUGAAGAAGGCCUUUUGGUUGUAAAGCACUUUAAGCGAGGAGGAGGCUCUUAAGGUUAAUACCCUUGAUG